Molecule: ribosomal RNA, 120 nt
Filed under: Micavibrio aeruginosavorus EPB
Lineage: Bacteria; Pseudomonadati; Bdellovibrionota; Bdellovibrionia; Bdellovibrionales; Pseudobdellovibrionaceae
Source: RNAcentral
UGACCUGGUGAUUUUAGCGAGUGCGCAACACCCCAUCCCAUACCGAACUGGACCGUGAAAAGCCUCAGCGCCAAUGGUACUUCGUCUUAAGACGCGGGAGAGUAGGUCGUUGCCAGGUCU